CAGUCGCCGCGGGAAUACGUAGGGUGCAAGCGUUAAUCGGAAUUACUGGGCGUAAAGCGUGCGCAGGCGGUUAUAUAAGACAGAUGUGAAAUCCCUGGGCUCAACCUGGGAACUGCAUUUGUGACUGUAUAGCUAGAGUACGGCAGAGGGGGAUGGAAUUCCGCGUGUAGCAGUGAAAUGCGUAGAUAUGCGGAGGAACACCGAUGGCGAAGGCAAUCCCCUGGGCCUGUACUGACGCUCAUGCACGAAAGCGUGGGGAGCAAACAGGAUUAGAUACCCCUGUAGUCCCUGUCUCUUAUAU
Molecule: ribosomal RNA, 301 nt
Filed under: uncultured bacterium
Lineage: Bacteria
Description: partial 16S ribosomal RNA
Rfam family: Bacterial small subunit ribosomal RNA
Source: RNAcentral